RNAcentral lists this unclassified non-coding RNA (521 nucleotides) under Lodderomyces parapsilosis. Its description in RNAcentral is "Candida parapsilosis sequence contains 18S rRNA gene, ITS1, 5.8S rRNA gene, ITS2, 28S rRNA gene". The record is from RNAcentral. Lineage: Eukaryota; Fungi; Ascomycota; Pichiomycetes; Serinales; Debaryomycetaceae.
UCGUAACAAGGUUUCCGUAGGUGAACCUGCGGAAGGAUCAUUACAGAAUGAAAAGUGCUUAACUGCAUUUUUUCUUACACAUGUGUUUUUCUUUUUUUGAAAACUUUGCUUUGRUAGGCCUUCUAUAUGGGGCCUGCCAGAGAUUAAACUCAACCAAAUUUUAUUUAAUGUCAACCGAUUAUUUAAUAGUCAAAACUUUCAACAACGGAUCUCUUGGUUCUCGCAUCGAUGAAGAACGCAGCGAAAUGCGAUAAGUAAUAUGAAUUGCAGAUAUUCGUGAAUCAUCGAAUCUUUGAACGCACAUUGCGCCCUUUGGUAUUCCAAAGGGCAUGCCUGUUUGAGCGUCAUUUCUCCCUCAAACCCUCGGGUUUGGUGUUGAGCGAUACGCUGGGUUUGCUUGAAAGAAAGGCGGAGUAUAAACUAAUGGAUAGGUUUUUUCCACUCAUUGGUACAAACUCCAAAACUUCUUCCAAAUUCGACCUCAAAUCAGGUAGGACUACCCGCUGAACUUAAGCAUAUCA